CUAAACGGCGCCUUAAGCGCCGAUGAGACGCGUGCGAGGCAAUCGGCGGUCCAGGGGAUCCAGCCAAGGCGAGGCGUCUGAGGGGAUCCGGCGCUCGAGCGGCUACCUCCAGGGCAACCUGUUCUUCUCGAUGGUGCUCCAGCAACUGCAUAAUUCAGGCUGGAGGUGAUGGAGGGCACUGUACAAGAGGACAUGUGUAUGGGAACAACAAUACACCAGGUAAUGUUGUUGGCGAUGGUCAAUUGAUUUGAGCAUAUUUGGAGACUGGUAGGCGCGCGGCCGUACUGCCCGAGUCACCACCUGAGAGAGGAUCCCAGAGGAGAUGGGCAGAUGCUCCAAAGGAUUUUGUACAUAGAGCAACUUCCUCUUCAUCUAGCUGAUCUUUUCUCGAAAACUUGAGCGACUGGACUUAUGCACUUGUCCCUUAGAGUCAAUGGCCAUAGCCUCUUGCGUAUUCAGGCCCACUCUUCUUUCACCCAAUAUGUCUAUUUCCAAAUA
Molecule: long non-coding RNA, 498 nt
Organism: Triticum dicoccoides
Lineage: Eukaryota; Viridiplantae; Streptophyta; Magnoliopsida; Poales; Poaceae
Exons: 3
Source: RefSeq, a predicted model, not a curated record